UAGUCUCAACCAUCAAAUUGAAAAGAAAAAAACAAACAAACAAGCUCAAAGAUGAAGAAUACUACUGCAUCACCUAUACUAGUUCUCUUUGCCAUCCUCAUCACCACAUUUAUACUUAGUUCGUCGGAAAUAUAUGGACUGGAAGCCAUGGAAGUGCAAUCAAGUAUUACUAGAGCAUCAAUUACUAAAGGAUGCGGUAAUACGUCGUGUCGAAAAGAUGCGGACUGCAUUAAUGCGCAUUGUCGUGAAAGGCGAAAGAACCAAGUCGUGUGUGAGCAUUGACAACACUCGUUAGAAGAGUUGAUGAUACCUUGUCUGUACUACUACAAAUUAAAAAAAGCCUUUAAUUAACUUUUCUUCAAAAAUAAUUAUUGUAUUAUGAACCAAAGAGUGUUGGCAAUGAACUCUCUCAAACAAUUAAGGCCCCAUUAUGUUUAUA
This is a long non-coding RNA of Erythranthe guttata (spotted monkey flower), 439 nucleotides long. RefSeq lists it as uncharacterized. The record is from RefSeq and is a predicted model, not a curated record. Lineage: Eukaryota; Viridiplantae; Streptophyta; Magnoliopsida; Lamiales; Phrymaceae.